RNAcentral lists this ribosomal RNA (1966 nucleotides) under Ostreobium sp. HV05007bc. Its description in RNAcentral is "LSU rRNA". It matches the Rfam family "Bacterial large subunit ribosomal RNA", at positions 1 to 1987 of the family's 2925-position model. The record is from RNAcentral. Lineage: Eukaryota; Viridiplantae; Chlorophyta; Ulvophyceae; Bryopsidales; Ostreobiaceae.
CAAAAAUCCAAAGGCUUAAAUUGGAUACCUAAGUACUCAAAAUCGAAGAAGGGCGUUGUUACCAGCGAAAUUCUCUGACUAAUUGGAAACAAAUAUUAACCCAGAGGUUCCCGAAUAGAGCAAUCUUAAAAACUAUCUGAUAAAUUCAUAAUCAGAAAAGAGAAAACUCAGUGAAUUGAAACAUCUAAGUAACUGAAGGAAAAUAAAGCAAACGCGAUUUCCCUAGUACUGGCGAAGGAAAAGGAACUAGCCCAAACUAGUUAAAAACUUAACUAGGGUUGUGGGAUUAUUAAUUUAAAUUUAAUUUAUCUUGAAGCAGCUGAAUCCUGUACCAUAGAUGGUGAAAGUCCAGUAAAUAUGAAUAAAAAAAAUAAAUCCCAAGUAAUAUCGGACACGUGGAAUCCGGUAUGAAUUAGCAAGGACCACCUUGUAAGGCUAAAUAUUUUUGAGUAACUGAUAGUGAAAUAGUACCGUGAGGGAAAGGUGAAAUAGAACCCUUGUUAGGGAGUGAAAUAGAACAUGAAAGUUUAAGCUUACAAAUAGUAGGAGGGUUUAAAGAAACUUGACUAUUUGCCUGUUGAAGAAUGAGCCGGCGACUUAUAGGAAAUGGCUUUGGUUAAGAAAUACUUCGGAGCCUUAGUGAAAACAAGUUUUAAUAGAGCGAUUUGUCAUUUUCUAUAGACCCGAACCCAGGUGAUCUAACUAUGACCAGGAGGAAGCUUAGGUAAAACUAAGUGGAAGUCCGAACCGACUAAUGUUGAAAAAUUAGCGGAUGAGUUGUAGUUAGGGGUGAAAUGCUAAUCGAACCUGGAGCUAGCUGGUUCUCCCCGAAAUGUGUUGAGGCGCAGCAAUUAAUGAUGAAUGUUUUAGGGGUAAAGCACUGUAUUGGUGCGGGCUGUGAAAGCAGUACCAAAUCAUAGCAAACUAAGAAUACUAAACAUUAUCCCAUUAAUAAGUAAGACAGUGGGGGAUAAGCUUCAUUGUCAAGAGGGAAACAGCCCAGACCAUUAGCUAAGGUCCCUAAAUAGUUACUAAGUGUUAAAGGAGGUGCGAAUACAAAAACAAUCAGGAGGUUUGCUUAGAAGCAGCAAUCCUUAAAAGAGUGCGUAAUAGCUCACUGGUAUAGUGUUUGUGCGCCGAAAAUGAUCGGGACUAAGUAAUUUACCGAAGCUAUGGGAUAUAUGUUUAAACAUAUAUCGGUAGGGGAGCGUUCUGUUUUAGGGUGAAGUAUUUUUGAAAAAAUAUAUGGACAAAACAGAAGUGAGAAUGUCGGUUUGAGUAACGAAAACAUUGGUGAGAAUCCAAUGCCCCGAAAAUCUAAGGGUUCCUCCACUAGGUUCGUCCAUGGAGGGUUAGUCAGGACCUAAGGUUAGGUCGAAAGACGUAGUCGAUGGAAAACAGGUGAAUAUUCCUGUACUAAUUUUUAUUUGAUAUCGAGGGACGAAGGUAGCUAAAUCAGCUGAGUUAUGGGUUUCAGUGCAACUACUCGAAGUAAAGGAUAUAGAAAAAAAACUAUUAUCUUACUAAGAUAGGAUACAAUUACUAGUUUCAGUUUUUGAUACUAUAAUUUGAUCUACGUUAAACUUCCAAGAAAAGCUCGUAAUAUUAAAUAAUAAAAAUUACCUGUACCGUAAACCAACACAGGUAGAUAAGUAGAGUAUACUAAGGGGCGCGAGAUAACUCUCUCUAAGGAACUCGGCAAAAUGGCCCCGUAACUUUGGGAGAAGGGGUGCCUUAAUAAAAUAAGGUUGCAGUGACCAGGCCCAGGCGACUGUUUACCAAAAACACAAGUCUCCGCAAAGUCGUAAGACAACGUAUGGGGGCUGACGCCUGCCCAGUGCCGGAAGGUAAAGGAAGUUAGUCAUUUAUUUAUUUUAAAGAAGCUGACGACUGAAGCCCCGGUGAACGGCGGCCGUAACUCUGACGGUCCUAAGGUAGCGAAAUUCCUUGUCGCGUAAGUUGUGAC